GACGAACGCUGGCGGCGUGCUUAACACAUGCAAGUCGAACGGAAAGGCCCUGCUUUUGUGGGGUGCUCGAGUGGCGAACGGGUGAGUAACACGUGAGUAACCUGCCCUUGACUUUGGGAUAACUUCAGGAAACUGGGGCUAAUACCGGAUAGGAGCUCCUGCUGCAUGGUGGGGGUUGGAAAGUUUCGGCGGUUGGGGAUGGACUCGCGGCUUAUCAGCUUGUUGGUGGGGUAGUGGCUUACCAAGGCUUUGACGGGUAGCCGGCCUGAGAGGGUGACCGGCCACAUUGGGACUGGGGUACGGCCCAGACUCCUACGGGAGGCAGGAGUGGGGAAUAGUGCACCAUGGGCGGAAGCCUGAUGCAGGAACGCCGGGUGCGGGAUGACGGCCUUCGGGUUGGAAACCGCUUUCGCCUGUGACGAAGCGUGAGUGACGGUAAUUGGUAAAGAAGCACCGGCUAACUACGUG
This 468-nucleotide ribosomal RNA is filed under the name uncultured bacterium. RNAcentral describes it as "partial 16S ribosomal RNA". It matches the Rfam family "Bacterial small subunit ribosomal RNA", at positions 28 to 507 of the family's 1533-position model. The record is from RNAcentral.